This 498-nucleotide long non-coding RNA is filed under the name Fragaria vesca (wild strawberry). RNAcentral's name for it is "long non-coding RNA (FVES_LNC000624)". The record is from RNAcentral. Lineage: Eukaryota; Viridiplantae; Streptophyta; Magnoliopsida; Rosales; Rosaceae.
UGAACAUCUUUGUUUGACUAAUGUCUCUACUAGUAUAGGGUUCUGAGUAUGAGAACAAGGUGGUGAGUAUAUCUCUCUUUUGGUAGUGCAUAUGUUUAUAUAUAUUGUGAGUUGCAUUGACAUGAUCACAGUCAGAGUUACACAAAUCAGUCCCAUGGCUCCUCUUACACACUAGUUCUCUGUGUUAUUCAUUGGUUUCAUGGACGCUGAUGGAAGCUGUCCAAUUUUCUGGCACGCAUGCUAAUUUCUAAUUUGAGCAUUAAUAGGGAAUUACUCUUUUGUAAUAAAGUUUUAUUGAGAUCUGACAAUCUUUUCACUUUUCCUUUCUCUUCUUAAUAUGUGUAUUUAUUUAUUUAUUUUAUGUAGGGGGGAGUAGGGGAAGAUUUUCAUCUGGAAGGGGGACUGGAUACAGGAACGAAGGAUCUAAUGGGUACAGGAAUGAGGGACCUAAUGGGUACAGGAAUGAUGGACCUAAUGUUGGAUACCGGAAUGAUGCAC